CUAAGUUUGAUGGCGACCGGCGCACGGGUGAGUAACACGUAUCCAACCUGCCGAUGACUCGGGGAUAGCCUUUCGAAAGAAAGAUUAAUACCCGAUGGCAUAGUUCUUCCGCAUGGUGGAACUAUUAAAGAAUUUCGGUCAUCGAUGGGGAUGCGUUCCAUUAGGUUGUUGGCGGGGUAACGGCCCACCAAGCCUUCGAUGGAUAGGGGUUCUGAGAGGAAGGUCCCCCACAUUGGAACUGAGACACGGCCCAAACUCCUACGGGAGGCAGCAUG
RNAcentral lists this ribosomal RNA (275 nucleotides) under uncultured bacterium. Its description in RNAcentral is "partial 16S ribosomal RNA". It matches the Rfam family "Bacterial small subunit ribosomal RNA", at positions 79 to 353 of the family's 1533-position model. The record is from RNAcentral.